CUGGAAUCGCUAGUAAUCGCAAAUCAGAAUGUUGCGGUGAAUACGUUCCCGGGUCUUGUACACACCGCCCGUCACACCAUGGGAGUCGGAUAUGCCCGAAGCCAGUGACCUAGCCGCAAGGAAGGAGCUGUCGAAGGUGGAGCCGAUAACUGGGGUGAAGUCGUAACAAGGUACC
Molecule: ribosomal RNA, 175 nt
Filed under: uncultured bacterium
Lineage: Bacteria
Description: partial 16S ribosomal RNA
Rfam family: Bacterial small subunit ribosomal RNA
Source: RNAcentral